CGCAAGCCUGAUCCAGCCAUGCCGCGUGAGUGAUGAAGGCCCUAGGGUUGUAAAGCUCUUUCAGUGGGGACGAUAAUGACGGUACCCACAGAAGAAGCCCCGGCUAACUUCGUGCCAGCAGCCGCGGUAAUACGAAGGGGGCUAGCGUUGUUCGGAAUUACUGGGCGUAAAGCGCACGUAGGCGGAUAUUUAAGUCGGGGGUGAAAUCCCGGGGCUCAACCCCGGAACUGCCUUCGAUACUGGGUAUCUUGAGUGUGGUAGAGGUGAGUGGAAUUGCGAGUGUAGAGGUGAAAUUCGUAGAUAUUCGCAGGAACACCAGUGGCGAAGGCGGCUCACUGGACCACAACUGACGCUGAGGUGCGAAAGCGUGGGGAGCA
Molecule: ribosomal RNA, 377 nt
Filed under: Calothrix sp. AECC1003
Lineage: Bacteria; Bacillati; Cyanobacteriota; Cyanophyceae; Nostocales; Calotrichaceae
Description: bacterial SSU rRNA
Rfam family: Bacterial small subunit ribosomal RNA
Source: RNAcentral